Molecule: long non-coding RNA, 1421 nt
Filed under: Homo sapiens (human)
Lineage: Eukaryota; Metazoa; Chordata; Mammalia; Primates; Hominidae
Description: HSALNT0110598
Source: RNAcentral
AUGAGGAGGAAGUAAAUUAGUCACAGAUGUGAGUACUUAGGGAAUUCAAUACUUGUUGAUUUGCUGUUUGGAAUGAUGGUAGAUCCACAGGUUGAGCAAUCAGUAUUAGGGUUCAGAGUCAUGGAGGAAAGAAAGAGGUGGAGAGAAAGCUUACUUUGGAACAGUGGUUUUCAACUUUGGCUGCAUACUGAAAUAACCUGGGCAGCUCUAAAAAGUACUGAUGUCUAGGUCUCACCCUCAGAGACUCUUAAUUUAAUUGCCUUGGUAUGUUGCUAGUGAAUUGAGUUUCAAAAGCUCUCCAGCUGAUAUUAAUGUGCAGCUAAGAUUGAAAACCUCUGCUCUAGAGUUUAAAAAGGCCAAUAUUGUUUUAGGAAAACAGGUGAAGAAUAUUAGUUAGAAUUCUUCAACUUCUCAGGGUCCAAAGUAUACUUGAGUGAAGAAGUGAAAACUUGUAGAGAAGAAAACAGGUUAGGACAAGAAGUUACUUAGACUUGGGCCAGCAGGUGAUAUCAUUUUUACAAGGUGAAGAUGAGAAGAAAGAAGAAUGAAAUAGUUAAAAGAAGCAUAAACUGGACCUGAAGGCAGAAUCAUAAUUCAAAGUUCAGGUAGCUGAUCUAGGAAUGCAGCCUGAAGAAAUCAGCACCUCCUAGAUACAGAAUGAACAGAAGGGCUCAGAAGAAAUAUGAGGACAAAUAGGUAUGCUAGACUGAGGCAGAAGAGGCUUGAAUAUUGACUUCAUCUUUUAAGAUAACUCCCCAGGACUGGAACUCCCUAGUACAAACAUCCAAUUGACAGAUCUUAGGUCAUGUAUCUUUGAUUUGGCUCUCUGAGGGCAAGGAGGGAGUUUCUGGGCCCUUCAGCCUAUGCAAUCAGAGCCCUCAUAACAUAUGAUGAGGGAUUUUCUCCAACCAGAAAAUUUUGGGGUACAGAGUAGGAAAACAUGAUAAUAAAAUAAUGCAACUAGAAACAUUUAAAAGGAAAAACAUUUGUAUAGAAAUGCAUAAUGGUUUGCACCUGUCUUGCAUUUGGCCUAAUGGACUCACUCCAUGCUCUAUCUUCAGAUACUUUUCUACUUAAAAUGUUAUUACUGUUGACUUAGCAAUUGUUAUGCACUGAAUGUUUGUGUCUCCCCAAAUUUAUAUGCACUGAAUGUUUAUGUCUCCCCAAAAUUCAUAUGUUGGGAUUUCAUAUGAAAUCCUAAUCCCCAAUGUGAUGGUAUUAGGAGGUAGAGAGGUAAUUUGGUCGUGGAUCUGGAGUCCUCUUGAAUAGGUUUAGUGCCCUUACAAAAGAGACCCCAGAGAGCUCUCUAGUCCUCUUCCUACCAUGUGAGGAUACAACAAGAUGAUGGCAGUCCUGCAGCCUGGAAGAGCGCCUUCACCAGAAACCGACCAUGCUGGCACCCUGAUAUGAGACAUCUGGCC